RNAcentral lists this ribosomal RNA (468 nucleotides) under uncultured bacterium. RNAcentral's name for it is "partial 16S ribosomal RNA". It matches the Rfam family "Bacterial small subunit ribosomal RNA", at positions 28 to 507 of the family's 1533-position model. The record is from RNAcentral.
GACGAACGCUGGCGGCGUGCUUAAUACAUGCAAGUCGAACGGAAAGGCCCUGCUCUUGCGGGGCGCUCGAGUGGCGAAGGGGGGAGUAACACGCGUGUAACCUGCCCUUGACUGUGGGAUAACUCCACGAAACUGGGGCUAAUAUCGGAUAUGAGCUCUUGCUGCACGGGGGGGGUUGGUAAGUUUCGGCGGUUGGGGAUGGACUCGCGGCUUAUCAGCUUGUUGGGCGGGUAGUGGCGUUCCACGGCUUUGACGGGUAGCCCGCCUGAGAGGGUGACCGGCCACCUGGGUCCUGCGGUACGCCCCAGUAUCCUACGUGCGGCAGCAGUGGAGAACAUUGCGCAAUGGCCGGAAGCCUGAUGCAGCAGCGCCGCGUGCGGAAUGACCGCCUUCGAGUUGUAAACCGCUUUCGAAUGUACCGAGGCGUGAGUGACGGUAACGGGUCAGAAAGCACCGGCUAACUACGUG